This 433-nucleotide ribosomal RNA is filed under the name uncultured bacterium. RNAcentral's name for it is "partial 16S ribosomal RNA". It matches the Rfam family "Bacterial small subunit ribosomal RNA", at positions 29 to 507 of the family's 1533-position model. The record is from RNAcentral.
AACGAACGCUGGCGGCAUGCCUAACACAUGCAAGUCGAACGAGACCUACGGGUCUAGUGGCGCACGGGUGCGUAACGCGGGGGAACCUGCCCUUAGGUUCGGAAUAACUCCCCGAAAGGGGUGCUAAUACCGGAUAAUGUCUGCGGACCAAAGAUUUAUCGCCUUUGGAUGGGCCCGCGUUGGAUUAGCUGGUUGGUAGGGUAAAAGCCUACCAAGGCGACGAUCCAUAGCUGGUCUGAGAGGAUGAUCAGCCACACUGGGACUGAGACACGGCCCAGACUCCUACGGGAGGCAGCAGUGGGGAAUAUUGGACAAUGGGCGAAGGCAUGAUCCAGCACUGCCGCGUGAGUGAUGAAGGCGUUAGGGUUGUAAAGCUCUUUUACCCGGGAUGAUAAUGACAGUACCGGGAGAAUAAGCUCCGGCUAACUCCGUG